GAAGCACAGAAGAUUACAUACUUUUUUACAUUCACAUAAACGGAACUGAAGAACGAUAUGAUGAGACUGAUUUCCCAGACAGCAGCUGCUGUGAUCACUGUGUGCAUCGUCUCCGUUAUGUCAGUGCCUGCAGCGAACAUAGAGGAGUGGAAAUCUCUCAGCAACCCACAGAACAGAGCUCUGUUUUUCCAGAUUCUACAAUCAUAUCUUGAAAGUAGAGACAUGAACUCACUGGAAAAGCAGCAGCAGGACUUCGACAGCAGACUCCCAGUAUCCAACUUGGAAAAUUACCAGCUUCAUUUUCCAAACAACAUAUAUGACGUUUAGUUAAAACCAAUUAUAAUUGUAAUGUAGGUCUACCGUGUGUUUUUUGUGUGUGUCUUGUAUGAUGUUAGAUGUUUGUGCAACAAGUGUUCAUUAUAUUUUAUGCAGACUUAAUAAAUAAUUGAUUGCCAUGCG
Molecule: long non-coding RNA, 459 nt
Organism: Hypomesus transpacificus
Lineage: Eukaryota; Metazoa; Chordata; Actinopteri; Osmeriformes; Osmeridae
Exons: 3
Source: RefSeq, a predicted model, not a curated record